GAACUUGUGUGGUACUACCUCAAGCGCAAGGUCUGUGGCAAGCUCUUCCGAUUCGACACAAUCUCCGAAAUCGACAUCUACAAGUCCGAGCCUUGGGACCUCCCAGGUUUGUCUCUCUUAUUCUGAUGAAUUUCUUGAUAUCACGUCUUUUCCCCUGUCUUUUAUCUUUCUGAAUCUUUAGCUUUUCUUCUAGGUCCGGCCGCCAGAGCUUUCUUCCUAAAUUGAUUUUGGUCUUUGAAUUCUGGUAUUUUUUUGGGUGGUGUUUUAGGUCAGUCCAAGCUGAAGAGUAGGGACCUGGAAUGGUAUUUCUUCAGUGUGCUGGACAAGAAGUAUGGGAACGGGUCGAGGACGAAUCGCGCCACGGACAGAGGGUACUGGAAGACCACGGGCAAGGACCGGGAGGUUCGUCACAGAGCCCGAACCGUUGGGAUGAAGAAAACCCUUGUGUAUCACAGUGGGCGAGCUCCUCGUGGGGAGCGGACUAAUUGGGUGAUGCAUGAGUACAGGCUUAUGGAUGAAGAAUUGAAGAAAACAGGCGUGGC
RNAcentral lists this long non-coding RNA (542 nucleotides) under Vitis vinifera (wine grape). Its description in RNAcentral is "long non-coding RNA (VVIN_LNC004099)". Lineage: Eukaryota; Viridiplantae; Streptophyta; Magnoliopsida; Vitales; Vitaceae. The record is from RNAcentral.